UACGUAGGGGGCAAGCGUUGUCCGGAUUUAUUGGGCGUAAAGAGCUCGUAGGUGGUUUGGUAAGUCGGAUGUGAAAUCUCCAGGCUCAACCUGGAGGGGUCAUUCGAUACUGCCAUGACUAGAGGUCGGUAGGGGAGUGUGGAAUUCCUGGUGUAGCGGUGAAAUGCGCAGAUAUCAGGAGGAACACCGGUGGCGAAGGCGGGACUCUGGGCCGAUACUGACGCUGAGGAGCGAAAGCGUGGGGAGCGAACAGG
This 254-nucleotide ribosomal RNA is filed under the name uncultured bacterium. Its description in RNAcentral is "partial 16S ribosomal RNA". It matches the Rfam family "Bacterial small subunit ribosomal RNA", at positions 524 to 776 of the family's 1533-position model. The record is from RNAcentral.